CUCCACCCUGCACAAAGAAUAAACAAAAACGGAACCGGUACAACGACCCCCCAAAUCCCUCCACCCUGCACAAAGAAUAAACAAAAACGGAACCGGUACAACGACCCCCCCCCAAAUCCCUCCACCCUGCACAAAGAAUAAACAAAAACAGAACAGGUACAACGACCCCCCCAAAUCCCUCCACCCUGCACAAAGAAUAAACAAAAACAGAACAG
Molecule: long non-coding RNA, 215 nt
Organism: Hypanus sabinus (Atlantic stingray)
Lineage: Eukaryota; Metazoa; Chordata; Chondrichthyes; Myliobatiformes; Dasyatidae
Exons: 2
Source: RefSeq, a predicted model, not a curated record